UUGGCUCAUGCCUGUAAUCCCAGCGCUUUGGGAGGCCAAGGUGGGCAGAUCACGAGGUGAGGAGCUCAAGACCAGACUGACCAACAUGGUAAAAGCUCUUUUCUUUAUAAAUUACUGAGUCCUGAUUAUUUAUUCACAGCAGCAUGAGAACAGGCUAAUAUACAAGGCAUAGUCCAACUUGCACAUUUAUCAUCUACUUAAACUACUGAAAAGUGCCAGACUGGUUCAAAUAAUCAAAUCUUGCUUAAAAUUUCAGUGACCUAAUUUCAUGGAAUGGAAUUGUGCUCCAUCUGCUAUCAGCAAAAUGUCUUCAGUUGAUUUACAAAAUAUUGAUAUAGCAAAUACUAUAACUGUUAUCAGGAAGGCUCUAGGGACAUUUUCUGAAUUUACCCAUUCUUCGUCUUGUCAUUUGUACUCAGUGAGGACAGAAAUAGACAAUAACAUUAAAAUUGUAUAAUGUGGUUUUUAAAUAUCUGGCUCUGCUACUCUUCCUCAUAAAGUUUAGCUAAGGUUUCUUUUUUCCUUUUGUCUUAUUUACAGCAUCUUAAAAAUACCCUUUAAACAUUUUUCAAGUUGUAAGUAUUAGAUCCAAGCACAGAUAGUUUGCUCCAAUUUUUAUAUGUUCUGAGUUUACUAUCCAGACACUUUGCGUUUAUGUGCUAUUUCUUUCCGUUUUACAUGAACAGACAUUUUCUCCACAGAAUGAAUAUGUAAUAUUUAGUUCAGUUGUUAAAUACUACAAGCAAGAUUUCGUAAACAAACAGUUUCAAACUACAUUUAUUUAAGGAGUACUUAGUUUUGUGAAAAUUGCAUAGGUAAAAUGGGCUGUUGACAUUGAAAAUGUAAGGCUUUUUUGUCAUGUUCAGCUUUGUUUAACUUGGUAAAAAAAAGUUUGCUUUUUUUUAGGAAAAAAAGGAAAGCAUGGUUUCUUUAUUUGGAAAGUUUUGUUUGUCUUUAAAUUAGACACUCUUUUAUACAUAAAUCAGAAAUAACUAUACAAGUUAUCUAUAAGGUAUUAUCCCACACAAUUAACAUAAAUGUUGAAAGUAUGAAAUGUCAGAUUAAUCAUAUAGUAUGAAAUACAUUUGAAAAAUUUUCUUGAUUAGAAAAGAGAUUAAAAAACAAACCACCUGUAUUAGUCCAUUUUCAUGCUGCUGAUAAAGACAUACCCAAGUCUGAGCAAUUUACAAAAGAAGGAGGUUUAUUGAACUUACAGCUCCACAUGGCUGGGGAGGCCUCACAAUUGUAGCGGAAGGUGAAAGGCAUGUUUCAUAUGGUAGCAGACAAGAGAAGAGAGCUUGUGCAGGGAAACUCCUGUUUUUAAAAAAAAUCAGAUCUCGUGAGACUCAUUCACUAUCACAAAAACUGUGCAAGAAAGACCCACCCCCAUAAUUAAAUUACCUCCCACCGGGUUCUUCCCAUGACACAUGGGAAUUGUGGGAGUUAUAAUUCAAGAUGACAUUUGGGUAGGGACAAAGCCAAACCAUAUCAUUUCACCUCUGGCCCCUCCCAAAUCUCAUGUUCUGACAUUUCAAAACCAAUCAUGCCUUUCCAAUGGUCCUCCAAAAUCUUAACUCAUUUCAGCAUUAUUGCAAAAGUCCCCAGUCCAACGUCUCUUCUGAGACAAGGCAAAUCCCUUCCACCUAUGAGCCUGUAAAAUCAAAAGCAAGUUAGUUACUUGCUAGAUACAAUGGGGUUAUAGGCAUUGGGUAAAUACAGCUGUUCCAAAUUGAAGAAAUUGGCCAAAACAAAAGGGCUACAGAUUCCAUGUAGGUCCAAAAUUCAGAGGGGCAGUCAAAUCUUAAAGCUUCAAAAUGAUCUACUUUGACUCCACAUCUCACAUCCAUGUCAUGCUGAUGCAAGA
Molecule: long non-coding RNA, 1864 nt
Filed under: Homo sapiens (human)
Lineage: Eukaryota; Metazoa; Chordata; Mammalia; Primates; Hominidae
Description: HSALNT0190296
Source: RNAcentral